CCCUAGAGGAGCCUGUUCCAUAAUCGAUAAACCCCGAUCCACCUCACCCUCUCUUGCUUAGCCUAUAUACCGCCAUCUUCAGCAAACCCUGAUAAAGGUUACAAAGUGAGCACAAACGCCCUACCGCCGCAAAAACGUUAGGUCAAGGUGUAGCCAAUGAAAGGGUAAAAAUGGGCUACAUUUUCUACACCAGAAAACUCCACGAAAACUCUUAUGAAAUCUGAGAGUCCAAGGAGGAUUUAGCAGUAAAUUAAGAAUAGAGUGCUUAAUUGAACCAGGCCAUAAAGCGCGUACACACCGCCCGUCACUCCCCUCAAAUAUAUUUAAGGAACAUCUUAACUAAACGCCCUAACAUUUAUAUAGAGGGGAUAAGUCGUAACAUGGUAAGUGUACUGGAAGGUGCACUUGGAC
Molecule: ribosomal RNA, 411 nt
Filed under: Macaca ochreata (booted macaque)
Lineage: Eukaryota; Metazoa; Chordata; Mammalia; Primates; Cercopithecidae
Description: partial 12S ribosomal RNA
Rfam family: Bacterial small subunit ribosomal RNA
Source: RNAcentral